Small nuclear RNA from Arvicola amphibius (Eurasian water vole), 103 nucleotides. NCBI's taxonomy places the organism in Eukaryota, Metazoa, Chordata, Mammalia, Rodentia, Cricetidae. The record is from RefSeq and is a predicted model, not a curated record.
GCUUGCUUUGGCAACACAUAUACUAAAAUUGGAACGAUACAGAAAUUAGCAUGGCCCCUGUACAAGAGAACAUACUUAAAAAAAAAAAAAUCUCGCUAGUGUG